Molecule: transfer RNA, 77 nt
Filed under: Clostridia bacterium
Lineage: Bacteria; Bacillati; Bacillota; Clostridia
Description: tRNA-Ala
Rfam family: tRNA
About the family: Transfer RNA (tRNA) molecules are approximately 80 nucleotides in length.
Source: RNAcentral
GGGGCAUUAGCUCAGCUUGGGAGAGCGCUAGACUGGCAGUCUAGAGGUCAGGGGUUCGAGCCCCCUAUGCUCCACCA